This 1462-nucleotide long non-coding RNA is filed under the name Triticum aestivum (bread wheat). RNAcentral describes it as "long non-coding RNA (TAES_LNC019804)". The record is from RNAcentral. Lineage: Eukaryota; Viridiplantae; Streptophyta; Magnoliopsida; Poales; Poaceae.
UAUCUGAUGUUCUUAAUGAAUUUGGAGCAUGAAGUGGAGUCUGAUCACUCAUUAUCAUAUCAACAGGUAUGCCUGCAUCAUAAUUGUAUGUACAAUGUCAGUUGUUGACACACGAACUAAGGUAUUAUGUUUGACAAGAGAACACAUGACCUUCCACAGCUGGGGUGUGUCGUUGCUGGGUGACAGCAGACUACGCCCUGGGCCUGUCCACAGUGUCAAAACCUGUCCAAAAGAACACUUAAUUAACACGACUUUACUUGUGAUUCAUGAAAUGUAUGAGAAAAUGGAGUAACCAGGCGACAUGGCCACGGGUGGCUUAGAUAGAGUGUUGGUUCCAUUUAGAAUAGCAGACGUAACUUUCUUAGAUCCCUUGCCUCCUGUCUUAUUUUUUUAGUAUUGCAUCCCUGUUUACCUCUCCCUCUCCCUCUGUCUCUUUAGUUCUUUUGGAUCUGUUUUUUGACCUGCGAGGCAAUGACAUAUUCUGGAUUUAUGAGAUUGAAGUACGUAAGAGUACAUGAUAUAUGUAUAUACCUGAAUUGCCGUUGUACGUCAGGUCCUGAAAGGGAGUACGUGCCCCACUAUGCUCAGAGGAUGCCAUAUUGUCAACUCAGUUUGUCAUGCAGAUCAUGAUGUACUGUAAGUAUCAAAUUUCAUAGUACAAAUUACAAAUUGUCAGAUUAAAAGAGCAAUUUCCUUCUGUCUUCUGCCUGAUCAUCUAUACUUGCUAAUUCAAAUGAUCUAACCUGUGCGCUGGCAGGUCAGAAAGUAGUCAUAUGUCCUCGAGAUGCCGCGGGCCACACGGGGUGAUAACACCGGAGGUAGGGCAGCACGCCGGGUGGAGAACGUCGCGGCCACCAGGGGCGACGGCGGUGUGGCGACGACGGCGGGGCGAGGAGAGGUUGGGCAGCAAGGCGGGUCGAGGAAGGACGUGCACCGGGGUGGAGGACAUCGCGGCCACCAGGGGCUAGGGUGGCGUGGCGACGGCGACGGGGCGAGGAGAGGUACGGCAGCAAGGCGGGUCGAGGAUGUCCACCGGGUAAGGACGUCGCAGACACCAGCGCUGAUCGCGGCGGUUCCUGGCGUGGUGGCGGCGUAGAUCGUGGAGGUGCUGUUUAUUUCCCAGGAGUUGUCAUCGUGGGGCUGUGUAGCAUCCUGAACGGGGGAGUCUGCCGGCAGAACAUUUGUUGUGAACUGUCGAUCUGAUUGUAGUAUGGUUGACGUAACGUGGACAGUUAGAUGGUACCAAGUGAGUCUGAUCGGACGUGGGGGGUUAUCCUGUGUGCACUUUCUGGUGUGGAUGUAGGGGAAGUCAUGUUUGGUCUUUUAAUAGUAGUGUAGAAGUGUAGAUGUAGAUUUGAAUAUCUUUUUUUUAAUAUAUAUAUUUUUUGAAAUUCUGUUUUUUAUAAAAAAAUAAUUAAACAGAUUUUGAAAUUCAAUUCUGAAUAUUUUUUGAAAUUUAAAA